GGAUCGAUACUUCGGUCGUGCCAUUGGUACGUACUGUGGUCAUCGAUUUCUCCCUUCUGACGAACCAUGAUGUCAUUAAUUUGGUGUUAUGGGAAAUCAGGACUGGUUUUACUUUGAAAAAUUAGAGUGUUUAAAGCAGGCAUUAGCUUGAAUACAUUAGCAUGGAAUAAUGAAAUAGGACGUUCGAACCUAUUUUGUUGGUUUUUAGGAUCAACGUAAUGA
Molecule: ribosomal RNA, 222 nt
Filed under: uncultured Glomeromycotina
Lineage: Eukaryota; Fungi; Glomeromycota
Description: partial 18S ribosomal RNA
Rfam family: Eukaryotic small subunit ribosomal RNA
Source: RNAcentral